RNAcentral lists this ribosomal RNA (311 nucleotides) under uncultured bacterium. RNAcentral's name for it is "bacterial SSU rRNA". It matches the Rfam family "Bacterial small subunit ribosomal RNA", at positions 28 to 334 of the family's 1533-position model. The record is from RNAcentral.
GAUGAACGCUAGCGGCAGGCCUAACACAUGCAAGUCGAACGGUAACAUGAUCAGCUUGCUGAUUGAUGACGAGCGGCGCACGGGUGCGUAACGCGUACGCAACCUACCUUUAACUGGAGCAUAGCCCGAAGAAAUUCGGAUUAAUACUCCAUAAAAUAUGAUGAUCGCAUGGUCGACAUAUUAAAGCUUUGGCGGUUAGAGAUGGGCAUGCGUGACAUUAGCUAGUUGGUAAGGUAACAGCUUACCAAGGCUACGAUGUCUAGGGGGCCUGAGAGGGUUAUCCCCCACACUGGUACUGAGACACGGACCAG